RNAcentral lists this small nucleolar RNA (107 nucleotides) under Gossypium barbadense (sea-island cotton). Its description in RNAcentral is "Plant small nucleolar RNA R71". It matches the Rfam family "Plant small nucleolar RNA R71". Rfam says of the family: R71 is a member of the C/D box family of snoRNAs containing the C (UGAUGA) and D (CUGA) box motifs. Multiple nearly identical copies of this snoRNA have been identified in Arabidopsis, and it is thought to function as a 2'-O-ribose methylation guide for 18S ribosomal RNA. The record is from Rfam by way of RNAcentral. RNAcentral also lists the same sequence under 1 other name. Lineage: Eukaryota; Viridiplantae; Streptophyta; Magnoliopsida; Malvales; Malvaceae.
AAUCCAAGCAUCGAACAUUUCCAGAGUAAUUCUUUAAAUCAUUCCCAAGCUUCAUAUAGCGUUUCAUCCUCUAAUUGUCAAAAAGAUGUGAUAUCAUUUCUAAGCUU